UGGUAUAAAGCAGCAUCAUAGGGGAAAUGUCAGUCUUUCUUCCUUCUUUUGUUCUUUGCAGGUAUGAUGCUUGAAUUUACCGGAGUUGCCUUAUAACCAUGAAGAUGAAUAUCACUCCAAAAGGCUAAGCAAAAUAUGGAAAGUUUGGCCACUAAGCCAAAGUUGGGAUGUCUGACUUUUAGACUUUUGUUGUGGAACUUUUGCAACAAGGCUGCCUUUGCAAUACCUUUGUUUUGCCAAACAACAAAGACGAAGCCAAGUUGCCAGAUUUUAAGACUCAAAGAGGAAACCGUUUUACUUCACUACACUUUGUGCAGUGGCAUAAUUCUAUUCUCAUGCGUCUUUGGAGGAGUAUGAAAUUGCCCCCUCUCAUCAUGGUUUUCAAAGAC
Bos indicus x Bos taurus (hybrid cattle) is the source of this 389-nucleotide long non-coding RNA. NCBI's taxonomy places the organism in Eukaryota, Metazoa, Chordata, Mammalia, Artiodactyla, Bovidae. The record is from Ensembl.